GUGCUUGCUUUAGCAGCACAUAUACUAAAACUGAAAUGAUACAGAGAAGAGUCACAUGGCCCCUGCUCAAGGAUGACAUGCAAAUUCGUAAAGUCCAUAUUUUU
Molecule: small nuclear RNA, 104 nt
Organism: Chlorocebus sabaeus (green monkey)
Lineage: Eukaryota; Metazoa; Chordata; Mammalia; Primates; Cercopithecidae
Source: Ensembl